RNAcentral lists this long non-coding RNA (489 nucleotides) under Rattus norvegicus (Norway rat). RNAcentral describes it as "long non-coding RNA NONRATT031239". Lineage: Eukaryota; Metazoa; Chordata; Mammalia; Rodentia; Muridae. The record is from RNAcentral.
AGGGUAACGCACGUCAAGAUGGAUGAGAGGGCUUUACCAAAGGGAGACUUUUUUUCCUCCUGAAUGCCCACAGCAGCUUCCCCAUGGACUUGGUGGUAUCGGUAUGGGGUUAGGACCUGGAGGGCAGCCUAUUGAUGCCAACCACCUGAACAAAGGCAAUGGAAUGGGAAACCUAGGACCUGCAGGAAUGGGAAUGGAAGGCAUAGGAUUUGGAAUAAAUAAAAUUGGAGGUAUGGAAGGACCCUUUGGUGGUGGUAUGGAAAACAUGGGGGCGAUUUGGAUCCGGGAUGAACAUGGGCCGGAUAAAUGAAAUUCUAAGUAAUGCAAUGAAGAGAGGAGAGAUCAUUGCAAAAAAAGGAGGAGGUGGAGCUGGAGGCAGUGUCCCUGGGGUCGAAAGGAUGGGCCCUGGCAUUUGACCGCAUUAGCGGUGCUGGCAUGGAGCACGUGGGCGAAGGCUUAAGCCAUGGCAUGGAUCGAGUGGGCUCCGGC